UUAAGCGACUAAGCGUACACGGUGGAUGCCCUGGCAGUCAGAGGCGAUGAAGGACGUGCUAAUCUGCGAAAAGCGUCGGUAAGGUGAUAUGAACCGUUAUANCCGGCGAUGUCCGAAUGGGGAAACCCAGUGCAAUUCGUUGCACUAUCGUUAACUGAAUACAUAGGUUAACGAGGCGAACCGGGGGAACUGAAACAUCUAAGUACCCCGAGGAAAAGAAAUCAACCGAGAUUCCCCCAGUAGCGGCGAGCGAACGGGGAGCAGCCCAGAGUCUGAAUCAGCUUGUGUGUUAGUGGAACGGUCUGGAAAGUCCGACGGUACAGGGUGAUAGUCCCGUACACCAAAAUGCACAGGCUGUGAACUCGAAGAGUAGGGCGGGACACGUGGUAUCCUGUCUGAAUAUGGGGGGACCAUCCUCCAAGGCUAAAUACUCCUGACUGACCGAUAGUGAACCAGUACCGUGAGGGAAAGGCGAAAAGAACCCCGGCGAGGGGAGUGAAAAAGAACCUGAAACCGUGUACGUACAAGCAGUGGGAGCACCUUCGGGUGUGACUGCGUACCUUUUGUAUAAUGGGUCAGCGACUUAUAUUCUGUAGCAAGGUUAACCGUAUAGGGGAGCCGCAGGGAAACCGAGUCUUAACUGGGCGUUAAGUUGCAGGGUAUAGACCCGAAACCCGGUGAUCUAGCCAUGGGCAGGUUGAAGGUUGGGUAACACUAACUGGAGGACCGAACCGACUAAUGUUGAAAAAUUAGCGGAUGACUUGUGGCUGGGGGUGAAAGGCCAAUCAAACCGGGAGAUAGCUGGUUCUCCCCGAAAGCUAUUUAGGUAGCGCCUCGUGAACUCAUCUUCGGGGGUAGAGCACUGUUUCGGCUAGGGGGUCAUCCCGACUUACCAACCCGAUGCAAACUACGAAUACCGAAGAAUGUUAUCACGGGAGACACACGGCGGGUGCUAACGUCCGUCGUGAAGAGGGAAACAACCCAGACCGCCAGCUAAGGUCCCAAAGUCAUGGUUAAGUGGGAAACGAUGUGGGAAGGCACAGACAGCCAGGAUGUUGGCUUAGAAGCAGCCAUCAUUUAAAGAAAGCGUAAUAGCUCACUGGUCGAGUCGGCCUGCGCGGAAGAUGUAACGGGGCUAAACCAUGCACCGAAGCUGCGGCAGCGACACUAUGUGUUGUUGGGUAGGGGAGCGUUCUGUAAGCCUGCGAAGGUGNNNNNNNNNNNNNNNNNNNNNNNNNNNNNNNNNNNNNUGCUGGAGGUAUCAGAAGUGCGAAUGCUGACAUAAGUAACGAUAAAGCGGGUGAAAAGCCCGCUCGCCGGAAGACCAAGGGUUCCUGUCCAACGUUAAUCGGGGCAGGGUGAGUCGACCCCUAAGGCGAGGCCGAAAGGCGUAGUCGAUGGGAAACAGGUUAAUAUUCCUGUACUUGGUGUUACUGCGAAGGGGGGACGGAGAAGGCUAUGUUAGCCGGGCGACGGUUGUCCCGGUUUAAGCAUGUAGGCUGGUUAUCCAGGCAAAUCCGGAUAAUCAAGGCUGAGGUGUGAUGACGAGGCACUACGGUGCUGAAGUAACAAAUGCCCUGCUUCCAGGAAAAGCCUCUAAGCAUCAGGUAACAUCAAAUCGUACCCCAAACCGACACAGGUGGUCAGGUAGAGAAUACCAAGGCGCUUGAGAGAACUCGGGUGAAGGAACUAGGCAAAAUGGUGCCGUAACUUCGGGAGAAGGCACGCUGGUGUGUAGGUGAAGUCCCUGCGGAUGGAGCUGAGACCAGUCGAAGAUACCAGCUGGCUGCAACUGUUUAUUAAAAACACAGCACUGUGCAAACACGAAAGUGGACGUAUACGGUGUGACGCCUGCCCGGUGCCGGAAGGUUAAUUGAUGGGGUUAUCCGUAAGGAGAAGCUCUUGAUCGAAGCCCCGGUAAACGGCGGCCGUAACUAUAACGGUCCUAAGGUAGCGAAAUUCCUUGUCGGGUAAGUUCCGACCUGCACGAAUGGCGUAAUGAUGGCCAGGCUGUCUCCACCCGAGACUCAGUGAAAUUGAACUCGCUGUGAAGAUGCAGUGUACCCGCGGCAAGACGGAAAGACCCCGUGAACCUUUACUAUAGCUUGACACUGAACAUUGAGCCUUGAUGUGUAGGAUAGGUGGGAGGCUUUGAAGCGUGGACGCCAGUCUGCGUGGAGCCAACCUUGAAAUACCACCCUUUAAUGUUUGAUGUUCUAACGUUGGCCCCUGACCGGGGUUGCGGACAGUGUCUGGUGGGUAGUUUGACUGGGGCGGUCUCCUCCCAAAGCGUAACGGAGGAGCACGAAGGUUAGCUAAUCCUGGUCGGACAUCAGGAGGUUAGUGCAAUGGCAUAAGCUAGCUUGACUGCGAGCGUGACGGCGCGAGCAGGUGCGAAAGCAGGUCAUAGUGAUCCGGUGGUUCUGAAUGGAAGGGCCAUCGCUCAACGGAUAAAAGGUACUCCGGGGAUAACAGGCUGAUACCGCCCAAGAGUUCAUAUCGACGGCGGUGUUUGGCACCUCGAUGUCGGCUCAUCACAUCCUGGGGCUGAAGUAGGUCCCAAGGGUAUGGCUGUUCGCCAUUUAAAGUGGUACGCGAGCUGGGUUUAGAACGUCGUGAGACAGUUCGGUCCCUAUCUGCCGUGGGCGCUGGAGAAUUGAGGGGGGCUGCUCCUAGUACGAGAGGACCGGAGUGGACGCAUCACUGGUGUUCGGGUUGUCAUGCCAAUGGCACUGCCCGGUAGCUAAAUGCGGAAGAGAUAAGUGCUGAAAGCAUCUAAGCACGAAACUUGCCCCGAGAUGAGUUCUCCCUGAGACUUUAAGUCUCCUGAAGGAACGUUGAAGACGACGACGUUGAUAGGCCGGGUGUGUAAGCGCAGCGAUGCGUUGAGCUAACCGGUACUAAUGAACCGUGAGGCUUAACCUU
This 2925-nucleotide ribosomal RNA is filed under the name Klebsiella pneumoniae. RNAcentral describes it as "bacterial LSU rRNA". It matches the Rfam family "Bacterial large subunit ribosomal RNA". The record is from RNAcentral. Lineage: Bacteria; Pseudomonadati; Pseudomonadota; Gammaproteobacteria; Enterobacterales; Enterobacteriaceae.